AGGUACCGUCACAUAAGCACCCUAUUUGAAUGCCUAUCAUUCGUCCCUACUUACAGGGGUUUACGCUCCAUAGAACUUCAUCCCCCACGCGGCGUUGCUGCGUCAGAGUUUCCUCCAUUGCGCAAUAUUCCUC
This 133-nucleotide ribosomal RNA is filed under the name uncultured bacterium. RNAcentral describes it as "partial 16S ribosomal RNA". The record is from RNAcentral.